Cyprinus carpio carpio is the source of this 501-nucleotide long non-coding RNA. Lineage: Eukaryota; Metazoa; Chordata; Actinopteri; Cypriniformes; Cyprinidae. The record is from Ensembl.
GUGUGGUGGGAGAGCCGAAGGAAUACUUAUUGAAGUAGUCACAACGACGACAUCACUAGCUAGGCCGCAUAUUCCAUCGCCAGAUCCGAACCAAGCGAAGUGAAGGAAGACGGGUGUCCUUUUCGUACACUGAGUGUGGUGGGUGAGUCUUCAUGCUGUGAAAACCUAUAAUUUUGACGUGGUGCUGUAUAUUGCUGUGGGCUGCUGUGUAUUGCCGUGUGUCCUGUCAGAUAAACCCCCGCCUUCACGCACUUCGUCGCGGGAGGACAAGGAGACUGCUGGUCCUAGCCUAGUUCAGUACAGUAUAUGUUGUGAGCGUGCUUCAGAUCUCCGGAGAUAGCACAGUACGCUGUGUCCAGCCCAGAGGUGAAAGCCAUCCAAAGCAGAGUAACUGUGCUUUGCGUCCAAGUUGAUACCUGUGGAGAGGAAAGGAAAGAGAGAUUGAUACCUGUGGAGAGAAAAGGAGAGAGAGUGAAUAACACGAGGAGAGACCGAGGAAAC